Molecule: long non-coding RNA, 971 nt
Organism: Engraulis encrasicolus (European anchovy)
Lineage: Eukaryota; Metazoa; Chordata; Actinopteri; Clupeiformes; Engraulidae
Exons: 3
Source: RefSeq, a predicted model, not a curated record
GAAAGCCGAAAUGUGCCACUUUUCCCCGACCGAAACAACCUCCGAUCUGUUGCGGAUCAUCCAAGUGUUUGGUACGAGGAGAAAGCUAAUGAAAUGCCCUGUCCAAUCACGUAGGUCAAAUGGCGAUAUUAUUUUGUAGUUCUUUUAAAAGAGCCAAUCAAAAGAGUAAACCAAACCCUCUUGUUGCUAUGCCUGUCAAGAUCAAGCUCCGUGAUUGGUCAAACGCCCACCGCGUGCUCUACGGGCAUGCGCAGUUCUCUCACUUACAUCCGCAACAAACCAAGCAUGGUUAGUGUUAUUGCAAGUUUGAUUAAUGUUUCGUCUCAUAAAUAGCCGUAUUUACUCCUCAUUUUUGGACAACAAUGACAAGGACAAAGGCGACUGGGAGUCUGAUGAUGACUGGGAUGCCUUUGAUGAUGAAAAAGACGAUCGAGUGCACGAACUGGGAACAGAUUCAGCAGUGGAGAAGACCAAUGCGAUUUUUACCGCGGACGUAUCUCCCAAUUCUGGCUAUGAAAAGACCAAUAAUCUUUGCAUCAGCAAGGAAAGACUAACAGGCUUACUGAAAUGGUACUCCAAUGGGACAGGACAGGAGGGAGAAAGAGAUCCCUUCAGCUGGACAACAUCAAAGGAGAGGUGACAUUCAUCCAACAACAAGGUUCACAAAAUGCCCUAGUGCUCACUGGACAUGUCCCUGGAUUUAAACGUGAUGAUCUACAGCCCCUGCCUUCAGUUCACACUGCCACCAAGGUCAACCAAAGCUACAAAGAUGUUCUUCUUGGGACAGAGAAGAACUAUUGGACCAUCAAGCACCAACAAGAGUGGAGACUUGAAGAAAGCAACGCAUAUCUGAAUCUUACACUGACUCUGAGAGUGCCCAUAGACAGGUUGUGGGCGUGGAGAUGAACUUUUAAAUCUGUAAAUAUGUGGCAAGUACACAAGAGAAUACGUGAGUAAUGUGUGUGUGUGUG